Molecule: ribosomal RNA, 221 nt
Filed under: uncultured bacterium
Lineage: Bacteria
Description: partial 16S ribosomal RNA
Rfam family: Bacterial small subunit ribosomal RNA
Source: RNAcentral
UACGUAGGGUGCAAGCGUUGUCCGGAAUUAUUGGGCGUAAAGAGCUCGUAGGCGGUUUGUCGCGUCUGCUGUGAAAACCUAAGGCUCAACCUUGGGCUUGCAGUGGGUACGGGCAGACUAGAGUGCGGUAGGGGUGACUGGAAUUCCUGGUGUAGCGGUGGAAUGCGCAGAUAUCAGGAGGGAACACCGAUGGCGAAGGCAGGUCACUGGGCCGCAACUGA